UACAGAGGUCCCAAGCGUUGUUCGGAUUCAUUGGGCGUAAAGGGUGCGUAGGCGGCGCGGUAAGUCGGGUGUGAAAUCUCGGAGCUUAACUCCGAAACUGCAUUCGAUACUGCCGUGCUUGAGGACUGGAGAGGAGACUGGAAUUUACGGUGUAGCGGUGAAAUGCGUAGAGAUCGGAAAGAACACCAACGGCGAAAGCACUCUGCUGGGCCGACACUGACACUGAGAGACGAAAGCUAGGGGAGCGAAUGGG
RNAcentral lists this ribosomal RNA (253 nucleotides) under uncultured bacterium. RNAcentral's name for it is "partial 16S ribosomal RNA". It matches the Rfam family "Bacterial small subunit ribosomal RNA", at positions 524 to 776 of the family's 1533-position model. The record is from RNAcentral.